GCUAACUCCCCCGGCUGGGUGAGAGGGUGAACAGAGCGAGGCCAGCUGGGGAUGCAGGCAGCGGAGGUCAGCAGGGAAGAUGCAGGCCCAACCAGCUCUGAGACCCAGGCCCGAUCUCUGCCUAAUGGAGCUGCAGGCGACACGGAACGGGUCCCCCAUUCGCUGGCAGAUGUCCCAAUCCAUCUCCAUUAUGCCUGGCGCUAAGGAGCACUGCAAAUGAAGCGUGAUGAUGCCACCGCCAGCAUCACUCCUGCUGGCUCUGACCCGCCUGCCACCUCCACCUAACAUGCACACCAGGCUGCGACUGAUGUCCACAGGCCCAGCUGCCACCUCGUACAGAUGCCGGGAUGGAGCCUUUGCUCCUGGCCCCACUGGCUGUGUGACUGUGAGCCCCUUACUGAAACUCUCUGUGCCUCAGUCUCAUCAUCCAAAUUAUGUCUGACUCCACCCUCUCCCUCGUCUCUCAUUUCCCAUCCACCUCAACACCUCUCCAGGCCACACACCUGUGUGUCCGCUGCCGCCCCUCAGUCCAAGCUUGUCUGGAUGGCAGCACCCACCUCCCAGGGUCUCUAGUGUGCCCCAAGGUCCUCCCCUUCCUCUGCUCGGCUCGGGUGCUCUUUUAUGGACUCACCGAGGCCUCUUUCUUAACACCCUUUCAGCCGCUUCCACAGUUCCCAGGCUAAAGCCAGACGUCCUCCUGAAGGUCAAGGCCCCUCAAGGGCCUGGCCCGGCCGCCUGUUCCAGGCUCCCUCCCGCCCUCCUCCCGGGCAGCCUCACCUCUCCCAGGAUGACUCCUUGGUGAGUGUCCAGCCCCCGUGGACCGUCAGGGGGCCGCAGUGGCCAGCACCGUGAGUCCUCCCCCGCAGGUCCCGCCCCGGCACACAGUAGGCAGAGCGAUCCCGCAGCUUAAAGGAAUGCCUCCAUCGAGUGCAGACAGCAAUUUCAUCCCACGGGCCGUGGUGACUGUCAACAGUGCCUCAUACGCUGUAAAUGAAGAACUCUUCACUCCUCGCCUGGGAAUGAGCACUGGGUUGGCUGCCACAAACUCAACACCCACCCCCGACCUUACAGGGUGUCAAGAUAAAGAUCGUCAGGCCGGGCGCAAUGGCUCACGCCUGUAAUCCCAACACUUU
This 1133-nucleotide long non-coding RNA is filed under the name Pan troglodytes (chimpanzee). Its description in RNAcentral is "long non-coding RNA NONPTRT009610". Lineage: Eukaryota; Metazoa; Chordata; Mammalia; Primates; Hominidae. The record is from RNAcentral.